GAUGAACGCUGGCGGCGUGCCUAAUACAUGCAAGUCGAACGAAUCUCUUUUAGAGAUGAGUGGCGAACGGGUGAGUAAUACAUAGGUAACCUGCCCCUGUGCGGGGGAUAACAGGAGGAAACUCCUGCUAAUACCGCAUAGCCAUGAGCACCGCAUGGAGCUCAUGCCAAAUAUCCUUUCGGGGAUAGCGCAGGGAUGGACCUAUGGCGCAUUAGCUAGUUGGCGGGGCAACGGCCCACCAAGGCAACGAUGCGUAGCCGGCCUGAGAGGGCGGACGGCCACAUUGGGACUGAGACACGGCCCAGACUCCUACGGGAGGCAGCAGUAGGGAAUUUUCGGCAAUGGGGGAAACCCUGACCGAGCAACGCCGCGUGAGCGAAGAAGGCCUCGGUCGUAA
This 397-nucleotide ribosomal RNA is filed under the name uncultured bacterium. RNAcentral describes it as "bacterial SSU rRNA". It matches the Rfam family "Bacterial small subunit ribosomal RNA", at positions 28 to 428 of the family's 1533-position model. The record is from RNAcentral.